RNAcentral lists this ribosomal RNA (537 nucleotides) under uncultured Chloroflexota bacterium. RNAcentral's name for it is "bacterial SSU rRNA". It matches the Rfam family "Bacterial small subunit ribosomal RNA", at positions 342 to 896 of the family's 1533-position model. The record is from RNAcentral. Lineage: Bacteria; Bacillati; Chloroflexota.
CGGGAGGCAGCAGUAGGAAUAUUGCCCAAUGGACGAAGUCUGAGACAGCAACGCCGCGUGCACGAUGAAGGCCUUCGGGUUGUAAAGUGCUUUUCUGGAGGACGAGAAAGGACGGUACUUCAGGAAUAAGGAUCGGCUAACUACGUGCCAGCAGCCGCGGUAACACGUAGGAUCCGAGCGUUAUCCGAAUUUACUGGGCGUAAAGCGCGUGUAGGCGGUUUAGUAAGUUGGAUGUGAAAGCUCCCGGCUCAACUGGGAGAGGCCGUUCAAAACUACUAAACUCGAGGACGGUAGAGGGAGGUGGAAUUCCCGGUGUAGUAGUGAAAUGCGUAGAUAUCGGGAGGAACACCAGUGGCGAAGGCGGCCUCCUGGACCGUUCCUGACGCUCAGACGCGAAAGCUAGGGGAGCGAACGGGAUUAGAAACCCCGGUAGUCCUAGCUGUAAACGAUGUGAACUUGGCGUCGGUGGGGUAAAAUCCAUCGGUGCCGUAGCCAACGCGAUAAGUUCACCGCCUGAGGACUACGGCCGCAAGGUUA